GACGAACGCUGGCGGCGUGCUUAACACAUGCAAGUCGAACGGAAAGGCCCUGCUUUUGUGGGGUGCUCGAGUGGCGAACGGGUGAGUAACACGUGGGUAACCUGCCCUUGACUUUGGGAUAACUUCAGGAAACUGGGGCUAAUACCGGAUAGGAGCUCCUGCUGCAUGGUGGGGGUUGGAAAGUUUCGGCGGUUGGGGAUGGACUCGCGGCUUAUCAGCUUGUUGGUGGGGUAGUGGCUUACCAAGGCUUUGACGGGUAGCCGGCCUGAGAGGGUGGACGGCCACACUGGGACUGAGACACGGCCCAGACUCCUACGGGAGGCAGCAGUGGGGAAUAUUGCACAAUGGGCGCAAGCCUGAUGCAGCGACGCCGCGUGAGGGAUGGAGGCCUUCGGGUUGUGAACCUCUUUCGCCAGUGAAGCAGGCCUGCCUCGUUUGUGGGUGGGUUGACGGUAGCUGGAUAAGAAGCGCCGGCUAACUACGUG
Molecule: ribosomal RNA, 485 nt
Filed under: uncultured bacterium
Lineage: Bacteria
Description: partial 16S ribosomal RNA
Rfam family: Bacterial small subunit ribosomal RNA
Source: RNAcentral